UUGAACUUGCUUUGGUGUAAGAGGUACCAAGGUAACAUUACUUCCUUGGUGCUUAAAUGAGUACUGAUUGUUAUAUCCGUCAUGGAUAACUUUUCGAUCAAAUUGCCAGGGCCACCCAAGUAGCAAAUGCCCGGCGUGCAUAGGUACCACGUCACAAACUACUUGGUCUUGGUACUUUCCAAUUGAAAAGAAAACAAUGAACUGUUUGCUCACCUUAAGUUCAC
Molecule: long non-coding RNA, 224 nt
Filed under: Gossypium raimondii (Peruvian cotton)
Lineage: Eukaryota; Viridiplantae; Streptophyta; Magnoliopsida; Malvales; Malvaceae
Description: long non-coding RNA (GRAI_LNC002171)
Source: RNAcentral